Zea mays is the source of this 826-nucleotide RNA transcript. It is a transcript of the gene named TATA-box binding protein pseudogene, with no coding region annotated. The transcript has 4 exons. The record is from RefSeq and is marked validated. NCBI's taxonomy places the organism in Eukaryota, Viridiplantae, Streptophyta, Magnoliopsida, Poales, Poaceae.
AACACCUACCUUAUAGGUACUUAAGGGUUACUUUUUAGUUGUUCUUUUGCUUUAUUGUAUUCCUAAUGAACUUCUGUCUGAGAAGUCAUAUCCCUGAUUGUGCACUAAUGUAAAAAAAAACACUUGCUGUGAAUUAUCAAGUCUGUACUGGAGCAAAAAAUGAACAACAAUCUAAACUUGCAGCUAGGAAGGUAAUUUUGUGUUCUUUUGUCUUCAUCUAAAUAUUCUUAAUCUGCUGAGGGUUUUGUGAAUAAUAACUGUUUCACUGUUUGCAUGCAGUAUGCUCGCAUCAUCAGAAGCUUGGGUUUCCAGCAAAAUUCAAGGACUUCAAGAUUCAGAACAUUGUUAGGUCCUGUGAUGUCAUUUUCAGAACAUUGUUCGGUCCUGUGAUGUCAAAUCCCCAAUCAGGCUCGAGGGUCUUGCAUACUCUCACGGUGCUUUCUCAAGUUAUGAAACAGAGCUCUUCUCUGGCUUGAUCUAUCGAAUGAAGCGGCAAAAAAUCAUGCUGCUGAUUUUUGUUUCCGGCAAGAUUGUUCUGACAAGAGCUAAGGUGAGAGAUGAGACGUACACUGCUUUUGAAAAUAUCUAUCCAGUCCUCACAAAGUUCAGAAAAGUCCGGCAAUGUUAAGUACAUGGUAAUUACUAAUGGGCAUGGGUAAUUAGGGCAUGCUGUUCAACUAUGUGCCCAGUUGUUGUUGUUGUCCCCUUUUUAUCGUUUUGUUUCCUGAUGGUACGGGUGAUCACAUUUUCAGAAAACUUAAGUUCGUCACUUGGUGUAUGUAGAUAACUUAGGAAUGGGCAAAUGCUAUUGCUGGCCGCCAGCUCU